Molecule: ribosomal RNA, 603 nt
Filed under: Micromonospora sp. WYP-17
Lineage: Bacteria; Bacillati; Actinomycetota; Actinomycetes; Micromonosporales; Micromonosporaceae
Description: bacterial SSU rRNA
Rfam family: Bacterial small subunit ribosomal RNA
Source: RNAcentral
CGACGACGGGUAGCCGGCCUGAGAGGGCGACCGGCCACACUGGGACUGAGACACGGCCCAGACUCCUACGGGAGGCAGCAGUGGGGAAUAUUGCACAAUGGGCGGAAGCCUGAUGCAGCGACGCCGCGUGAGGGAUGACGGCCUUCGGGUUGUAAACCUCUUUCAGCAGGGACGAAGCGCAAGUGACGGUACCUGCAGAAGAAGCACCGGCCAACUACGUGCCAGCAGCCGCGGUAAGACGUAGGGUGCGAGCGUUGUCCGGAUUUAUUGGGCGUAAAGAGCUCGUAGGCGGCUUGUCGCGUCGACCGUGAAAACUUGGGGCUCAACCCCAAGCCUGCGGUCGAUACGGGCAGGCUAGAGUUCGGUAGGGGAGACUGGAAUUCCUGGUGUAGCGGUGAAAUGCGCAGAUAUCAGGAGGAACACCGGUGGCGAAGGCGGGUCUCUGGGCCGAUACUGACGCUGAGGAGCGAAAGCGUGGGGAGCGAACAGGAUUAGAUACCCUGGUAGUCCACGCUGUAAACGUUGGGCGCUAGGUGUGGGGGGCCUCUCCGGUUCCCUGUGCCGCAGCUAACGCAUUAAGCGCCCCGCCUGGGGGAGUACGGA